UGGCUCAGUUGGUAGAGCAUGGUGUUUGCAACACCAUGUUUGUGGGUUCGAUUCCCAC
Molecule: transfer RNA, 58 nt
Filed under: Salmo salar (Atlantic salmon)
Lineage: Eukaryota; Metazoa; Chordata; Actinopteri; Salmoniformes; Salmonidae
Rfam family: tRNA
About the family: Transfer RNA (tRNA) molecules are approximately 80 nucleotides in length. Their secondary structure includes four short double-helical elements and three loops (D, anti-codon, and T loops). Further hydrogen bonds mediate the characteristic L-shaped molecular structure. tRNAs have two regions of fundamental functional importance: the anti-codon, which is responsible for specific mRNA codon recognition, and the 3' end, to which the tRNAs corresponding amino acid is attached (by aminoacyl-tRNA synthetases). tRNAs cope with the degeneracy of the genetic code in two manners: having more than one tRNA (with a specific anti-codon) for a particular amino acid; and 'wobble' base-pairing, i.e. permitting non-standard base-pairing at the 3rd anti-codon position.
Source: Rfam by way of RNAcentral